CCUACGGGAGGCAGCAGUGAGGAAUAUUGGUCAAUGGACGAGAGUCUGAACCAGCCAAGUAGCGUGAAGGAUGACUGCCCUAUGGGUUGUAAACUUCUUUUGUCAAGGGACAAAAUCAGGCUCGAGAGCCUGACCGAGGGUACUUGAAGAAAAAGCAUCGGCUAACUCCGUGCCAGCAGCCGCGGUAAUACGGAGGAUGCGAGCGUUAUCCGGAUUUAUUGGGUUUAAAGGGUGCGUAGGCGGACUGUUAAGUCAGCGGUAAAAGCCCGGGGCUCAACCCCGGCGAGCCGUUGAGACUGGCUGUCUUGAGAUGUCGAGAGGUAUGCGGAAUGCGCAGUGUAGCGGUGAAAUGCUUAGAUAUUGCGCAGAACUCCGAUUGCGAAGGCAGCAUACCGGCGGCGAUCUGACGCUGAGGCACGAAAGCGUGGGUAUCGAACAGGAUUAGAUACCCGAGUAGUC
This 459-nucleotide ribosomal RNA is filed under the name uncultured bacterium. RNAcentral describes it as "partial 16S ribosomal RNA". It matches the Rfam family "Bacterial small subunit ribosomal RNA", at positions 338 to 795 of the family's 1533-position model. The record is from RNAcentral.